GAUUAACGCUGGCGGCGUGCCUAACACAUGCAAGUCGAACGAGGUAGCAAUACCUAGUGGCAGACGGGUGAGUAACGCGUGGUCAACCUACCGUUGAGUGGGGGAUAACUAGCCGAAAGGUUAGCUAAUACCGCAUACGUCUCCGAGUGGCAUCACUUGGCGAUAAAAGGAGCAAUCCGCUCGAUGACGGGACCGCGUCCCAUUAGCUAGAUGGUGGGGUAACGGCCUACCAUGGCACCGAUGGGUAGCUGGUUUGAGAGAGCGACCAGCCACACUGGGACUGAGAAACGGCCCAGACUCCUACGGGAGGCAGCAGUGAGGAAUUUUCCGCAAUGGGCGCAAGCCUGACGGAGCGACGCCGCGUGUGGGAAGAAGGCCUUCGGUCGUAACC
This 391-nucleotide ribosomal RNA is filed under the name uncultured bacterium. RNAcentral's name for it is "bacterial SSU rRNA". It matches the Rfam family "Bacterial small subunit ribosomal RNA", at positions 28 to 430 of the family's 1533-position model. The record is from RNAcentral.